Rhea pennata is the source of this 3947-nucleotide long non-coding RNA. RefSeq lists it as uncharacterized. The transcript is spliced from 4 exons. Lineage: Eukaryota; Metazoa; Chordata; Aves; Rheiformes; Rheidae. The record is from RefSeq and is a predicted model, not a curated record.
UGUGUAAAGGAACAGCGGGAUUUCAUGCCUCAUUGCCCUGCCGGGACAUCCUUUUCGUGCCCGGGUUUGCAGAGUUACUAAAAACUUCGUGGCUGCUCAGACAUAACAGCAGCGAGAACCCACAGGAAAGACAAAGGCAGUUCCCGGGGACACCUUCCCCACAAUGGACCGCUUGAAGGGCACAACUCUCCCGUGCUUUGCUCCUACAGAAACCUUAGCCCAUGUUUACCUGCCCAGGAAAAAGAGAUAAGACUUGCUCGUGGAGAGGAAAGCUCUAUAUCACUGAAGCUCGGGGAAUUUUGUCAGACUUUAUCAGUGACUUUAAACGUAUUCACUAUUCUUUGUGGUACAAGAUCUGCAAAGUGUAUACAGACUGAAGCCUUUCCAGAAUAUUAAAUACUUUCUCUUGCUUGACAAAGGUCAUCUAUGCUGUGAAGGUGAUGAGCUCAUUUCAUCUACAGCACCCAUCAAUCCAUCAUGGCAAAAUGGCCCCAAAGACCCAAAGAAUUAAGCAGCUCAUGAGUUUGAAUGUAUUACAUAUUCACAGUACUCCUUUGAGCUGCAGAAAUCUUGUGAAGAAUAUUCUUCAUGUUGUUCAGAUUGGCAUGGGAUGGGCUAAUUACUAGAUUUACAAGGAAAAUGUGAAGUUUUGACUCUCAGCAUUGCCUGGAGAAACCCUUAUCUCUGAGUUGGGCUCCCAAAGACUGUCGACACAUCAUGGGGAGAGCAAAGUACUCUAGAACAGCAAGUCAUGCUCUAGGUUGUGUAGUUGCAUGUGUAGCAGACAUAAAUGAUGCAGACAUGGUGCUUAGCAGGCUACUAGGAAACACUGUGGAUGUUUUCCAAGUCCCAGACAUUUCUGGCUAUCAGCUACUGACACAGGGCUGCUGUGGGACAUAUCUCUUUCCUGGAGGUAGACCCUGAAGCAGUCAGUGCUCCAGGUUUUCAGCAGUGCAGCCCACCUGAUCAUAGGUCAGGAGAGCUGGAGAGACUGGACCUGGCCCAGCAAGUGAAGGGAGACAAGGAGAGCACAAAUCUGAGAUAGAGAGCUGCUGCUGCUCAGCCCAAGGUUGUGGGUGCAUCUCUGGUGAAAGGAGGAGGGAGGAUCCCACGAGCAAGAGCUGAUCAAACAAGGUCAAGCAUUAAACCCAGUUUCUCAGAGCAGUGUCAUCAGCAAAACAGACCAUAGGGCUGCUACCCUCAGCAGGCUAUGACCCUUGUCAGCUUAACAUAAUUCUUUUUGCUUGGACAGUAGCCUAAAUAAGACUCUCUGCCAGUCUACUCACAUCCUAGAGUGAAAUGGGAAAGAUCUGUGGAUUAGCGACAUACUGCCUCAUGCACAAACAACUUCUGUGCUAGAGAGACUGGCUCUUCUCUAAACAGUUGGACCUUCUAGUCUAAAGAUCUCUUUUCUUGGCAUGUAUUACAGCAGGGAAGAUCAAUCUCAGCUGGGUUCUCCUUGUUGUUAAGAAUGUUUGGGUUGUAAGACACCAGGUGGUUCUUCACAAGAUGUCCUCUGACAGGGUCUUCAUACCUGAGGUAUGUUAAAUUUUGGCAAAAGAUCAUCCUUUCUCUCUCUGUCAAACGUUGUAGGUUGGAUAGUAAAAAAUGGACUCAGCUAUUUUUAAAUUGUAGCUGGGUCUGUGGUCUGUUUGCCUGAUAAUGUAUUUUUAGCAGAAUAUGAUAGGUGUCCUUUUAUGGAGGAGAGAAGGAGUAAAAACUCCAGUGAAUAAAUACAUGUUUUUUGUUUUCAUCACUCUCCUCCUGGACUCCUGCUGUUGAGUGACUGGAAAAUUCAAACAGAUUAUUUUGGCAGUUCCAAAAAUCUGUCAUACAGAUCUGAGAUUUUUCCUUGUAUUUGUCAAAGUGUGAGUAAGCACAAGUAUUACAGGAAACAUGGAAAUGUUUGGUCUUUAGAGAAUGGCUGUGGAAAAAGACCUCUUACUGUUUAAUAGCUAAUGUUUAAUAAAAUAAUUUUUGUAUGUCCAAAUUGCUGAUUGUUCUAGUGAGGGUUAAAUUCUGGUCAGAAGAGAUCCGAUGAGUCCAAUGUCCUCAGUUAGAAUACUUUGAGAAGAGUCUUUUCUGUAGCCAUUUCCUAUUUCAGAACAAUGAAGAAUGAGAGAUGUCCUUCUUGCUCCCUAAGGUGCAGUGAUGUGUUUAGUACGAUCUCUAGGAUAGUGUCAAAAGGGAAAGAAGGAUCCAGGAGCAAGUUACUGGAGUACGAGGAAGUGUCCUUGUCUGAGAGACACAACCCACUGCUUGAUUAUGAAGAUCCAGCUAGAAGAGAAAAACAGAAGAUGUCUCAUACUUACCGAAAUGUUAAGGGUCAUUAUGGAUAUACUGGAGACUGGAGGAAGCCAGGAACCUGCUUAAAGUUCACCAGAAGUUUCUCUACAGUUUCUCUGUAUGAAGUCUUCGUUCAGAGGCAGGAGUCCAGCACAGCCUGUAGUUUGGAGGCUGUUGUCAUGUUUUCUUCAGCAGUGCUGGCCCUCGAGCUGCUGCUGCACACCAAAGCACUGGCACUUGGGCUGUUUUGUCAUAACACAUUGUGCAAAUUCUGAUGUUCACCUUUUCUCUUAUCUGUGUUUUGUGUCAUUUUCUGCUUCGCUGCUAGGUGCAGGUCUACUCCAAUCUUCCUGUGAGGUAACUGCAGAGUGCUGCCGGCUGGUCUUUUACACGAGGUGAACAAAGCUACAGCCAAAUUCUUCAGCUUGAACUAUGGCCACAUUUGUGUUAGGUCUGAUGUGCUCAUAAUAAGAUGUUUUUCCUCUGCCUGCUUCUUACAGGAUACAAAUUAGGACUUCAGCUUCAUGCAGCUGUGUAAUCUUAAUCUAAAUGGGGCUGAAGAUAGCAAAUUGACAAGACCUUUUCAUUUUGUUUUACAAGGCGGCUAGCUGAUGCCAGGAAGGACUGCUUAUCGACAUCAGUCAUUACCCUGUUGAUAGCUCUGGGCAGACUGCUCUAAUUGGCCAGAACUGAAUCAAGUAAUCAUGUUAUGGAAAGCGUACGUAGCAUUUAUCUUAGUAGCACAUCUGAAUUACAGUAAUAUGAGUUCAUGGCAAAAUUCUCUCUGACUACAUCAGAAGCAGGAGCAGAGAUUGUCUGCUAGCACACAUGCAACUGGACUUUAUUGCACAAUCUGCUGUUUUUAGGCAGGACAGUGAGGCUGUGUCAUAAAAGUCAUAAAAUUAUCCUCCAAGAUCCUGCAGUUCAAAUGCUGUUCAGACAAGUGAAGAUAAGCCCAUGUGUGGUGUUUGUAGAACUGUUUUGCGUUGUUUUCCUGGUGUGACUUUCACUUCAAAAAGUAGAAAAGCUUUAAUAGGAAUAAAUAAAAAUACCAUCCAAAAAGAGAAUAAUUACAGAGGCAUCUUCUUUAUACAAAAUGAUAGUUAAAAAAGAAAUAGCUAAGAAAGAAAAGUAACAACAAAACACAAAUCUGAGACUCAGUUUGCUCAUUUUCUGCCUGGGAAAUAGAGAACAAGAAGUUUAUUAUCAAAAAUACUUGCAUAAUGCUGACUAAUGUGUUAAUGAAUCCUAUUUUUGUUAAAUAGUUUAAGCAUGUUAGAUACUACAUUGAAAAAAAAAAAGAAAAUGAAUAGUUGGCUGAAAUAGUCACCUGAGCUUCUUUUUUUUCCAUGGUAAAUGUAAAAUUUGUAAUUUUUAUUCAAUGGAAUGAUUGAGGCUUGGGCCUAUGUUAAGUUGCCAUGAACAGCACAGACCAGGAGGAAUAGAAAUGAUUUGCUUUGGACCUUUUCUCAAGUAGAAUCAAACUGCCUGCUUGCCAUGUCCCUGUAGCAUACAGUGUAACAGCUAAAUAUUAAUUGUAAUCAAAUUAUAAUCUGGAUGAAGAUACUGAUCUGCAAAAGUUUACAGCUUCAGGAGGAGGACAACUAUUACAUCUUGGGGUUUAUAAGUACAAAUAAAUAUUUGAGCACUUUGUGCAUUAA